RNAcentral lists this ribosomal RNA (501 nucleotides) under uncultured bacterium. RNAcentral describes it as "bacterial SSU rRNA". It matches the Rfam family "Bacterial small subunit ribosomal RNA", at positions 8 to 507 of the family's 1533-position model. The record is from RNAcentral.
AGAGUUUGAUCAUGGCUCAGAAUGAACGCUGGCGGCGUGCCUAACACAUGCAAGUCGAGCGAGAAAGUCUCUUCGGAGAUAAGUACAGCGGCGGACGGGUGAGUAACGCGUGAGAAUUUACCCUUUAGUGAAGAAUACCUCUGAGAAAUCAGAGUUAAUACUGCAUACGUCCCUACGGGGAGAAAGGUGGCCUCUUGCUGCCGCUAAAGGAUAAGCUUGCGUACUAUUAGCUAGUUGGUGAGGUAAAGGCUCACCAAGGCGAUGAUGGUUAGCCGGGCCUGAGAGGGUGUACGGCCACACUGGAACUUAGACACGGUCCAGACUCCUACGGGAGGCAGCAGUGAGGAAUAUUGCGCAAUGGGCGAAAGCCUGACGCAGCGACGCCGCGUGGAGGAUGAAGGUCUUCGGAUUGUAAACUCCUGUUAAGUGGGAAGAAAGACCUAUUUCUAAUACAGAUAGGGGAUGACGGUACCAUUAGAGAAAGCACCGGCUAACUUCGUG